CAGUAGCCGCGGUAAAACGUAGGUGGCAAGCGUUGUCCGGAAUUAUUGGGCGUAAAGGGCUCGCAGGCGGUUUCUUAAGUCUGAUGUGAAAGCCCCCAGCUCAACCGGGGAGGGUCAUUGGAAACUGGGAAACUUGGGCGCAGAAGAGGAGAGUGGAAUUCCACGUGUAGCGGUGAAAUGCGUAGAGAUGUGGAGGAACACCAGUGGCGAAGGCGACUCUCUGGUCUGUAACUGACGCUGAGGAGCGAAAGCGUGGGGAGCGAACAGGAUUAGAUACCCGGGUAGUCCCUGUCUCUUAUAC
This 301-nucleotide ribosomal RNA is filed under the name uncultured bacterium. RNAcentral describes it as "partial 16S ribosomal RNA". It matches the Rfam family "Bacterial small subunit ribosomal RNA", at positions 509 to 807 of the family's 1533-position model. The record is from RNAcentral.